Harpia harpyja (harpy eagle) is the source of this 5041-nucleotide long non-coding RNA. RefSeq lists it as uncharacterized. The record is from RefSeq and is a predicted model, not a curated record. NCBI's taxonomy places the organism in Eukaryota, Metazoa, Chordata, Aves, Accipitriformes, Accipitridae. The transcript has 4 exons.
UCGAGGACCAAGCAGUAUAUUCCUGCUGGUAAAAUCUCCUAUUCUGUGGAACUUAGUCCUGCCCCUGGUCAUGCUUAAGUCUUGACAUACUCUUUUUUGUUUCCUCUCCAGCUCCAAGUGCUGUUGCUCCACAUGCUUUUUGACUCUGUCCUCUCCUUUAUUUGCAGGUCUCCCUGACUUCUUUCACACAUUGAGACAGGCUGCCUCAGAGUUGCUGCCCUACCCAAUCUUAGCUGCAGUGCAUGUUGGACCUUUUGUCAUCUUAAGCAUCUUGGCUUUCAUCUUCUGUGGAAGGGGAGGGAAGUGCACAAAGAAGUGCCUUUCUCCCAGAAAGAGGCAAGUACCCCCAGCAACAAAGGAGCUUCCUGGGGCUGAUGCGCUGCGCGGCCGAGAGCAGCCCGGCGGAGGCACUACCCAGCAGACUGCGCCGAGCCGCCCCUCGGACCACGGCGAGCCGAAGGACAGCUCCUCCCGCCGGCAGCCGCCCCGGACCUCCGGACGUGCACCGCGCCCCGGCGGGGCGGCGCCCGGCGCGCUCCUCCCGGCGCUGCGGGCGGGGGGCGGGGGGGGUGCGCCGCCCUCCCGGUCCCGGCGGCACUUCGGGUUCGCGCACUGCCCCUGCCCCCUCGCUUCCCCGGCCGCUGCGGAGCGCGGGGUGUAGCCGCGCCCUGUGCUCGGUCCCGCAGGUUGCUUCUCGCAGUAACUCAUUUCCCCUCACCCUCCCUUCCUCUUCUUCCCUCUUUUCUUCACUUCCCACCUGCUUUUUUGCCCUCUUCCCUUCCCUUCCCUUCCUCUCCCCACUCUAUUUCUUACUUCCGUCCUUGUUUCCUUUCCCUGUCUCACCCCCAUUUUCCCUGCCAUUCUUUCUUCUCUCUUUCCUUCCCCCUUAGAAUCAUAGAAUCAUUUAGGUUGGAAAAGACCUUUAAGGUCAUCGAGUCCAACCGUCAACCCAACACCACCAGGCCCACCAAACCAUGUCCCGAAGUGCCUUGUCUACGUGUUUUUUGAAUACCUCCAGGGAUGGUGACACCACCACUUCCCCGGGCGGCCUGUUCCAAUGCCUGACAACCCUUUCAGUAAAGAAUUUUUUCCUAAUAUCCAAUCUAAUCCCUUCUCUCCUUUCCUCUCACACUUGCCCCCCAUUUCUCCUUCUCCCCCCUUCCUCCCCGUCUUACAAAUUCGCCUUCCCUUGUCCCUCCCAUCCCUCUUUUCUUUUUUCUUUCUUCCUCCUCUUUCCCCCUUUCUGCCACCCCUCCCUUCAGAUCUUUAGACCCUCAGGCGUAGACAGCCAGGGACCACUCCCACACCCAUGUACAGACUGGAGGUGCCAGCUAAGGGUAAUCAUCUGAGGACCAAAAACUUGGAAGAGAAGCAGUGUGACCUGAUUUGUUCAUGUCAGUGACGUUUUUCUAAGGAAGUACGUAAGUAUAGAAGGGGCCUAGAAGGGGUAGCAAACAGAAAAGAAAAGAGCAAGGAGUGUUUGAGAGAGGAAGAGCUAACUAAAUGCCAUCAGCACUUAAGUUGUUAAAAGCUGAAGGAAUGGUUGUUAAGCAUUGUUUAUAGGAAGGUCUGAGGGGGCAUAACGCACAAGGAAUGGAAAAAUACCGUGGCUGAACCCAGGGUUCUGCCUCAGGCCUGCAAGCGGGCUUUUGGCAUGGAGUCCUCGUGCUGAGCCCAGGCACGUCAGUGUGGGGAGGGCCCUGCAUGCUGGGCGAGUGAGGGGUGAGUAGGGCUAGAUCUUGGCGAGGGCUGCUCUGUGCCAAACGCACAUGGAGGGGAAUGGGAGAUGGGUCUGAAGGAAUAAGGGGUGUGGGCUUUUAAUCUCCAACAAGGUCCCUGAUGUUUCCACUGGGUUCCCCCGCAAUGUACUUGAAGACAAUGCUUCUUCUGGGGUCCCCCAGGACUUCUCCUGCAAUAUCACUAGCCACAGGUGGUACCCAAGGCACUGUCACCUGCACGCAUUUAGAACCCCUCUGGUAGAUAGCCCCUACCCUGACCUGCUGCUUGCAAGCUUUGUCACCCCGAGGGCUCUGCAGGUGCUACUCAAUCCAGCCCCCGAAGCCCCUAGCCACUAAAACCUGCCCCAAGACCACCACCAACCUCUGAAUCCCUGGACCUCAAAACCACCCCCAAACCUGAACCAAUCCCCUCCUACAAUCUUAAAACUGCCCCUAAGGCCUGCCCAAGACCACCAAUGUCUCUGACAGCACCCCUGAAGCCUGCUGUAAACUGUAAACCCCCAUCCCCAAUCCUGCUUUCAUUCCCCUUCAAGUCCACCCCAAACAAUGCUCCAGUACUCACAGCAACUGCAAACCACCCACAAUCCUGCCCCCAAACCCCCAUGACUCCAGAUGUCUCUUUAUCUCCCUUCACCGGUUGAAGUUGGCUUCUUGGUGCCCACGUGGUCCUGUGUGCCCUUGGUCCCGUGCCAGAGGAGAACGGGAUGGAUGGCUGGACACGGCUGGGACUGAGGCACAGACCAUUCAGAGACCCAGCAGCAGCAGAGGAUGGGUCGCUCCCUGAGGUUCACCAGCAUUUCCUUUUCCCAUUGCAGUAAGACAAGCACAAGCUAGCCCUUGACUUCACUUUUUUGUCAGUUAACACCAAAGUUAGAUUACAUCGGGGAAAGAGUGAGGCUCAGCCAGGUGGCUCCCAGCCUGACUCCAAUAUAGGCUCUGCUGGAGGCUGAUGUGCUUCCUACUAUGCUCAAACUGUAUUGGGGUCCUCCUUGCUGCCUGCAACAUGACCGCAUCAACUCGGCAGUCCCCUAGCACUGCUGCACAGCUAUGUUUUGUUGGAUGAGCGUGGGGCUGUCAGAGGCAGAGGGGAGCAGAGUGUAGUCCCUUGCUUCUCUGCAAGGUGUGAUUUCUCUCAGCCUAGCAUGCUCCCUGUAAUAUUCCUCUGGCCGCCUGUGGUCAGAGUCAGUUGUCUCUCUCCUGGCAGCACUUCCACUUGCCCUGGCCCAGGAAAGUGGGGAAAAAAAAUGUGCUUUGAAACCGACAGCAGCUUCUGGAUUCAUUAGUCAGCUCUCUCCAAGAAUCACACCUGCUCUGGUGGGGCACCAUCAGGCUUUAGAGUAUGGAAGAAGCAGGCAGGGUGCGAGGAAGGAUGGAGGCUGCAAACGGAAGCACCAAGGGGUGAGUGCAAUUACCUGAGCAGGUUGUUCAGUGGGUGACAUGUGGGCUGGGCUGGGCUUGGCUGCUUGGGUCUGUAGUGGGGUCUUGGGUGCAGGUUUGCGGUUACCUGUGCAUGUGACGAAAGGUUUGUGGGGGGUAGCGUGUGGAGGAGAUGGGAUGCUGUGUGUGUCUGGGCUGUUGGGUGCAUUGUGGUGCUGAGGGGAGUGCCUGCAUAUGCCUGCAGGAUUACUGCACAGUGCUUUUUUCCAUGCUGGUGUCUGUGUUGUCAGCUGUACCAGUGUUCAUGGACGAGCGUGCAUGCACCAAUGUCUGUAUGGGAGGCUGUUACGCCUGUAGUGCCCUACCCAUCCCUCUUCCCCUGGUCAUGGCAUCUGUCUGCUGGACAGGUGGAGAAGUUAACUGUCUGUGGGUGGGUGUAUGUGCCCAUGUUUGUGCUGGCCAUGAGGCAGAGCUGCUCCCUCACUGGGGCUAUGCCAGGUAUGCAGAAUGUGUCUGCAUGUGUGUGUGCAUGCAUGUGCUUGCAUGUUUUGUGGUACGGGAGGCUCUUCCCCUGACUCUGUGUGCCUGUGGAGAUGUUUUGGGGUCUGCAGAGCAGGUUUUUCUGGGUCCUCUGUGGCUCUUUCUGCUUCCAGGGAGCCUGGGAUCCCUGAAGUACUCUGGUCACCUCUGUCAGACUGUUCCAGGGGCCUGUGGGGGAACACUUGUGGGUCUGCGGGUACUGUGAUCUCUGGGACUUUGUCAGGGUUUCCGGUAGGUUUGCAGGAGCUCCUGGGGCUUUUACUCACCUUUGAGCUCUGUUCUCAGUGUGGGGGUGCUCAUUUGGGGGUCUUCAGGGCAGUUCCUACCACUUUGCUCCCACAUUUGGGCUAGUGCAGGGGUCAUCUUGAGUGUCUGAAGAUUUUGGUGGUUCCCUGGGGCCGUGGUGGGGUGCCUUGAGGUGUUUGCCAUGUUUUUCAGACAGCUUGGCGAUGCCCAGACCUGGUCUCUUUUGGGAGAGUUGUUUCAGAGUCUUUGAGUUCCUUCCCACAGGCUUGUUGAGCAAUCAAAUGUUAAGUAUGGAGGGCUCUUUGCUAAAGCUCUGCUCAGUGAGCUUCACUGCCAAUCUGUGAAUGCUGACUGAAGCAAGCAAAGUGGGGAAAUUACAGAAAAACUGUCAUAACCAGCAUUUUGAAGGGCACAAUGCUUGCCCUGCCUUAUGCAGCAGGAGAAGUGUAUUUGGAAACCUUUUGAGCGUGAACUGGUUUUGAGAGCUGGUGGUUAGCGAGACCUUCAUCUUACCCUAACUGGCAUCCACAGCAGAGCAGCAGUGACCUGAGGAGGGUUAAGGUCAGACUCUGCUCCUCCUCAUCUCCUGUUCUUCUCACUGCCUUCUCUCGCUGUCUUUCAAAUGGAAUGGCAUCCAGUAUCUAGACUCAGCACAGUAAGGGCAAAUGCAAGGACUGAGGGGCAGAGGGUGUUUUAUGACUGGCUGGCUGGCCUUCUGCCAGUGGCCUGAUCCCAGAUAGGCAGACUGGUUGCAGGGCCUGUUCUGCAAAUGCAGGCUGGAGAAAUGGGCUGAACCUCAUGAAGUUCAACAAGGGGAAGUGCAGAGUCCUGUACCUGGGGAGGAACAACCCCAUGCACCAGUACAUGUUGAUGGCCCCCCAGCUGGAAAGCAGCAUGAGCCAAAAAUGUGCCAUUGCUGCAAAGAAGGCUGAGGGUGUCCUGAGCUGCACUAGGCAAAGUAUUGUCAGCAGGAUGAGGGAGGUGAUUCUUCCCCUCUGCUCAGCACUGGUGAGGCCACACAUGGAGAGCUGUGUCCAGUUCUGGGCUCCCCAGUGCAAGAGAGACAUGGAAAUGCUGGCAAGAGUCCAACGAAAGGCCACAGGGAUGAUUAAGGGACUGGACAGUCUCUCCUGUGAGGU